This 404-nucleotide ribosomal RNA is filed under the name uncultured bacterium. RNAcentral's name for it is "bacterial SSU rRNA". It matches the Rfam family "Bacterial small subunit ribosomal RNA", at positions 355 to 776 of the family's 1533-position model. The record is from RNAcentral.
UGGGGAAUAUUGGACAAUGGGCGAAAGCCUGAUCCAGCCAUGCCGCGUGAGUGAUGAAGGCCUUAGGGUUGUAAAGCUCUUUUACCCGGGAAGAUAAUGACUGUACCGGGAGAAUAAGCCCCGGCUAACUUCGUGCCAGCAGCCGCGGUAAUACGAAGGGGGCUAGCGUUGCUCGGAAUCACUGGGCGUAAAGGGCGCGUAGGCGGCCGAUCAAGUCAGAGGUGAAAGCCCAGGGCUCAACCCUGGAAUUGCCUUUGAUACUGUUCGGCUCGAGACCGGAAGAGGUUAGUGGAACUGCGAGUGUAGAGGUGAAAUUCGUAGAUAUUCGCAAGAACACCAGUGGCGAAGGCGGCUAACUGGUCCGGUUCUGACGCUGAGGCGCGAAAGCGUGGGGAGCAAACAGG